GAACGGAGCACCCUUGACUGAGGUUUCGGCCAAAUGAUAGGAAUGCUUAGUGGCGGACUGGUGAGUAACGCGUGAGGAACCUGCCUUUCAGAGGGGGACAACAGUUGGAAACGACUGCUAAUACCGCAUGAUGCGUAAAUGGGACAUCCCGGAUACGCCAAAGAUUUUAUCGCUGAAAGAUGGCCUCGCGUUUGAUUAGAUAGUUGGCGGGGUAACGGCCCACCAAGUUGACGAUCAGUAGCCGGACUGAGAGGUUGACCGGCCACAUUGGGAAUGAGAUACGGCCCAGACUCCUACGGGAGGCAGCAGUGGGGAAUAUUGGACAAUGGGCGAAAGCCUGAUCCAGCCCUGCCGCGUGUGUGAAGAAGGCCUUUUGGUUGUAAA
This 384-nucleotide ribosomal RNA is filed under the name uncultured bacterium. Its description in RNAcentral is "bacterial SSU rRNA". It matches the Rfam family "Bacterial small subunit ribosomal RNA", at positions 64 to 429 of the family's 1533-position model. The record is from RNAcentral.